Molecule: ribosomal RNA, 1222 nt
Filed under: uncultured bacterium
Lineage: Bacteria
Description: partial 16S ribosomal RNA
Rfam family: Bacterial small subunit ribosomal RNA
Source: RNAcentral
AGAGUUUGAUCCUGGCUCAGGACGAACGCUGGCGGCGUGCCUAACACAUGCAAGUCGAACGGACGAGGAGGAGCUUGCUUCUCCAAGUCAGUGGCGGACGGGUGAGUAACGCGUGAGUAACCUGCCCUUCAGAGGGGGAUAACGUCUGGAAACGGACGCUAAUACCGCAUGACAUAUUUCCAUCGCAUGGUGGAGAUAUCAAAGGAGCAAUCCGCUGAAGGAUGGACUCGCGUCCGAUUAGAUAGUUGGCGGGGUAACGGCCCACCAAGUCGACGAUCGGUAGCCGGACUGAGAGGUUGAACGGCCACAUUGGGACUGAGACACGGCCCAGACUCCUACGGGAGGCAGCAGUGGGGGAUAUUGCACAAUGGGGGGAACCCUGACGCAGCGACGCCGCGUGCGGGACGGAGGCCUUCGGGUCGUAAACCGCUUUCAGCAGGGAAGAGUCAAGACUGUACCUGCAGAAGAAGCCCCGGCUAACUACGUGCCAGCAGCCGCGGUAAUACGUAGGGGGCGAGCGUUAUCCGGAUUCAUUGGGCGUAAAGCGCGCGUAGGCGGCCCGGCAAGCCGGGGGUCGAAGCGGUGUGAAAGGCAGGGGCUUAACCCCUGGACUGCAUUGGAAACUGCUGUGCUUGAGUGCCGGAGGGGUAAGCGGAAUUCCUAGUGUAGCGGUGGAAUGCGUAGAUAUAAGGAGGAACACCAGUGGCGAAGGCGGCCCUCUGGGCCGAGACCGACGCUGAGGCGCGAAAGCUGGGGGAGCGAACAGGAUUAGAUACCCUGGUAGUCCCAGCCGUAAACGAUGGACGCUAGGUGUGGGGGGACGAUCCCCCCGUGCCGCAGCCAACGCAUUAAGCGUCCCGCCUGGGGAGUACGCCGGCAACGGUGAAACUCAAAGGAAUUGACGGGGGCCCGCACAAGCGGAGGAACAUGUGGUUUAAUUCGAUGAUACGCGAGGAACCUUACCCGGGUUUGAACGCAUUCGGACCGAGGUGGAAACACCUUUUCUAGCAAUAGCCGUUUGCGAGGUGCUGCAUGGUUGUCGUCAGCUCGUGCCGUGAGGUGUCGGCUUAAGUGCCAUAACGAGCGCAACCCUUGCCACUAGUUACUAACAGGUAAAGCUGAGGACUCUGGUGGGACUGCCAGCGUAAGCUGCGAGGAAGGCGGGGAUGACGUCAAAUCAGCACGGCCCUUACAUCCGGGGCGACACACGUGUUACAAUGGC